CCACAGAGUGCUCCAGGGACUUCCUGGCGAGAUUUUCCUGCCCUCUUAAGAGUUUCUCUUACUCUCAGCCCCGCUCAUCUAAUCUGGAGCUGCAGCCCUCUUCUCCAACCAGUCUCAGGAUCUCAGAGCUGCAAGAUCUUGCACAUUUCCUAAGAUGAUCCCUUUUCCUUACAGAUGAGGAAACCGAGACUGCAAAAAGGUAACAAAUGCGUGUACCAUCCGAAUUUCCUCUUCUCCCCUGCGUCCUGGGACAGUCGCAGCCACAGAACAAGGAAUGCAGACCACUGGAGGUGGACGGCAAAAUGCAGCCAAAGCCCAGUCAGAGAGACCUGGAUCCACUCCUCAUCUCUGCCACAGAUGGGCUGUGUGACCUUGAGCAAGAUACUUCCCUGUCUGCGCCUCUGUGUCCUCCGCAUACAGUGAGGAGGAUCAUAAGCCCACAGGGAGAAUCCUGGGGACUCCUGAGCUGAAGUUCCCAAAGUGCCCAGCCUGGUGCCCAGCACACAGCAGAUGCACAAGAAAUAGCAUCACAGAUCAAAUUCUGGACCUUGCACUUGUGAGGCAGGCGGCAGUGCCACUGAGCUAAAUCCUCUGCCCUCAGGAGCAUCUUGGGCAAGACCUCCAGGAACUUGGAAUUUGCGUCUCCAACAGACAGAA
This is a long non-coding RNA of Fukomys damarensis (Damara mole-rat), 657 nucleotides long. RefSeq lists it as uncharacterized. The record is from RefSeq and is a predicted model, not a curated record. The transcript has 3 exons. NCBI's taxonomy places the organism in Eukaryota, Metazoa, Chordata, Mammalia, Rodentia, Bathyergidae.